Molecule: long non-coding RNA, 578 nt
Organism: Xiphophorus hellerii (green swordtail)
Lineage: Eukaryota; Metazoa; Chordata; Actinopteri; Cyprinodontiformes; Poeciliidae
Exons: 4
Source: RefSeq, a predicted model, not a curated record
UGUCUGCUGUUCAUGCAUAUUUUCCUCCUUAACUUUAUCUUCUCUCUUUAUUUCAUUUCUCUGUGAACUCAUGUGAUGACUGGAGUUGACCAACAAUUAAAGCAGAAGAAGACCUGCUCCACCUGCUGAUCUACUGGUUGUAACAGCUUGUGGGAAAGCAUCACUGGACCAAUCAGGCGAGAGAAGACAGAGAGGACUGAGGACUAAAACGAAAAUACUCUGCCUGCCAAAAAAGGCAGACGAUCCAGUGGCCCCAGGUUUACACACCAUCUGCUGGUUUGAGGCAGACUGACCGCUGGGGAGAUGGACCUCACCUGGCACCAUUACUCUGGAUGUAACAGGUAGCUCGACUCUCCUGUCCAUUAAAACAUCAAUGACUCGAGAAGCGGACAGCGAGGUUUCUGGUGCCUGGCUGGAGACGAGAUUCUGAUUAUUCAAGAGCCAAAACAAAACGUCAGAAUAAAUAGUUAGAAGGCAGAUUUGUUUUCUAUUUGUUAUUGUUUUCAUUAUUAAUGCUCCAUAACACAAAAUUCAUCAGUGCUGUAACUCUUGAGUUGAAUAAAAUGUUCUUCUUUCAA